This 274-nucleotide ribosomal RNA is filed under the name uncultured bacterium. RNAcentral describes it as "partial 16S ribosomal RNA". It matches the Rfam family "Bacterial small subunit ribosomal RNA", at positions 523 to 796 of the family's 1533-position model. The record is from RNAcentral.
AUACGGAGGGUCCAAGCGUUAUCCGGAAGCAUUGGGUUUAAAGGGUCCGUAGGCGGGCAAUUAAGUCAGAGGUGAAAUCCCACAGCUCCACUGUGGAACUGCCUUUGAUACUGAUAGUCUUGAGUUACAGUGAAGUAGAUAGAAUAUGUAGUGUAGCGGUGAAAUGCAUAGAUAUUACAUAGAAUACCGAUUGCGAAGGCAGUCUACUAACUGUAUACUGACGCUGAUGGACGAAAGCGUGGGGAGCGAACAGGAUUAGAAACCCUAGUAGUCC